This 445-nucleotide ribosomal RNA is filed under the name uncultured bacterium. Its description in RNAcentral is "bacterial SSU rRNA". It matches the Rfam family "Bacterial small subunit ribosomal RNA", at positions 15 to 507 of the family's 1533-position model. The record is from RNAcentral.
GAUCAUGGCUCAGAACGACGCUGGCGGCAUGCCUAACACAUGCAAGUCGAACGAGACCUUCGGGUCUAGUGGCGCACGGGUGCGUAACGCGUGGGAAUCUGCCCUUAGGUUCGGAAUAACUUCGGGAAACUGAAGCUAAUACCGGAUGAUGACGUAAGUCCAAAGAUUUAUCGCCUAAGGAUGAGCCCGCGUUGGAUUAGCUAGUUGGUGAGGUAAAGGCUCACCAAGGCGACGAUCCAUAGCUGGUCUGAGAGGAUGAUCAGCCACACUGGGACUGAGACACGGCCCAGACUCCUACGGGAGGCAGCAGUGGGGAAUAUUGGACAAUGGGCGAAAGCCUGAUCCAGCAAUGCCGCGUGAGUGAUGAAGGCCUUAGGGUUGUAAAGCUCUUUUACCCGGGAUGAUAAUGACAGUACCGGGAGAAUAAGCUCCGGCUAACUCCGUG